UACGAAGGGGGCUAGCGUUAUCCGGAAUUAUUGGGCGUAAAGAGCUCGUAGGCGGUUUGUCGCGUCUGCCGUGAAAGUCCGGGGCUCAACUCCGGAUCUGCGGUGGGUACGGGCAGACUAGAGUGAUGUAGGGGAGACUGGAAUUCCUGGUGUAGCGGUGAAAUGCGCAGAUAUCAGGAAGAACACCCGUGGCUAAGGCGGCUCUCUAGUACGGUACUGACGCUGAGACGCGAAAGCGUGGGGAGCGAACAGG
This 253-nucleotide ribosomal RNA is filed under the name uncultured bacterium. RNAcentral describes it as "partial 16S ribosomal RNA". It matches the Rfam family "Bacterial small subunit ribosomal RNA", at positions 524 to 776 of the family's 1533-position model. The record is from RNAcentral.